GGGGUUGUGGCUCAGCGGUAGAGUGCUCGCCUUGAAUGAGAGAGGCCCUGGGUUCGAUCGUCAGCACCACA
Molecule: transfer RNA, 71 nt
Filed under: Marmota monax (woodchuck)
Lineage: Eukaryota; Metazoa; Chordata; Mammalia; Rodentia; Sciuridae
Description: tRNA.Ser
Source: RNAcentral